CUACGGGAGGCAGCAGUAAGGAAUAUUGGACAAUGGGUGUAAGCCUGAUCCAGCCAUGCCGCGUGCAGGAAGAAGGCCUUCUGGGUUGUAAACUGCUUUUGCCGGGGGAUAAAAGAUCCAUGCGUGGAGAAUUGAAGGUACCCGGUGAAUAAGCCACGGCUAACUACGUGCCAGCAGCCGCGGUAAUACGUAGGUGGCAAGCGUUGUCCGGAUUUAUUGGGUUUAAAGGGUGCGUAGGCGGUCCUGUAAGUCAGUGGUGAAAUACGGCAGCUCAACUGUCGAGGUGCCAUUGAUACUGUGGGACUUGAGUACAGACGAGGUAGGCGGAAUUGACGGUGUAGCGGUGAAAUGCUUAGAUAUCGUCAAGAACACCGAUAGCGAAGGCAGCUUACUAGACUGUAACUGACGCUGAGGCACGAAGGUGCGGGGAUCAAACAGGAUUAGAUACCCGCGUAGUCCG
This 460-nucleotide ribosomal RNA is filed under the name uncultured bacterium. Its description in RNAcentral is "bacterial SSU rRNA". It matches the Rfam family "Bacterial small subunit ribosomal RNA", at positions 339 to 797 of the family's 1533-position model. The record is from RNAcentral.